UACAGAGGGGGCAAGCGUUAUUCGGAAUUAUUGGGCGUAAAGGGCGCGUAGGCGGCUUGGCAAGUGGGAGGUGAAAUCCCUCGGCUUAACCGAGGAACUGCCCUCCAAACUGCUUGGCUUGAGACCGGGAGAGGUGAGUGGAAUUCCCAGUGUAGCGGUGAAAUGCGUAGAUAUUGGGAGGAACACCAGUGGCGAAGGCGGCUCACUGGACCGGUACUGACGCUGAUGCGCGAAAGCGUGGGGAGCAAACGGG
Molecule: ribosomal RNA, 253 nt
Filed under: uncultured bacterium
Lineage: Bacteria
Description: partial 16S ribosomal RNA
Rfam family: Bacterial small subunit ribosomal RNA
Source: RNAcentral